UACGUAGGGUGCAAGCGUUGUCCGGAAUUAUUGGGCGUAAAGAGCUCGUAGGCGGUCUGUCGCGUCGGCUGUGAAAUCCCGAGGCUCAACCUCGGGUCUGCAGUCGAUACGGGCAAACUGGAGUGUUGCAGGGGAGACUGGAAUUCCUGGUGUAGCGGUGAAAUGCGCAGAUAUCAGGAGGAACACCGGUGGCGAAGGCGGGUCUCUGGGAAACAACUGACGCUGAGGAGCGAAAGCGUGGGGAGCGAACAGG
RNAcentral lists this ribosomal RNA (253 nucleotides) under uncultured bacterium. RNAcentral describes it as "partial 16S ribosomal RNA". It matches the Rfam family "Bacterial small subunit ribosomal RNA", at positions 524 to 776 of the family's 1533-position model. The record is from RNAcentral.